AUCCAGCUGAUGAGUCCCAAACAGGACGAAACGCGCGCCUUGGAU
RNAcentral lists this non-coding RNA (45 nucleotides) under Schistosoma margrebowiei. Lineage: Eukaryota; Metazoa; Platyhelminthes; Trematoda; Strigeidida; Schistosomatidae. The record is from RNAcentral.